GCACACUUUCCCCCCUUGACCCUCUCUUGCGGUUUUCUGGGGUGCUUUGAUGUCUAUCCAGUUUACCGACAACCCCAGUGAACCGCAAGACGGGUCGUUGAAACAUGGUUUUACUUUGCUUGCCCUCUCCUAAUUACGCCACGUCAGGUAAUUGGGUUAAAAAAGCGUUUCCCCAAUACAAAUAUUCGUACGUUUCUAAUCUCCAAGAAGAGCCAAGAUCUUUUAUUCUCAAAAGCACUAAUAUUCAAUAAAAGGAAGCAAUCGUCCUUCAUACUACACCUGCAUUUCCUCUUUUUGAUAACGUCUGUGACUUUGCCCGAUCUAUUUCGUGUGAAGUUUACAUUGUUCGCUUAUCCUUUAUAUUUCGCUUAUCGAAUCGAAAGAUAGAUAAAAAAUUUAUCGAUUCGAAAGAUGGAUAGACUUUUAGAUAUUUUUCACUUGUUUAUAGUAAACAGUCUCGACUAUAUGAGCAAAUUAUGGCCGGUGACAAUUCUAAAGAAUUAAUGCAAAUUCAUCAUGCAAUAGACUUUAAAAUUGAAAACUUCAGUAAUUCUGAUGAGUACAAAAAGGUCGGUGCCUCUUUUAGUCAUAAGAAAACUUCUUUUAACCAGUUUUUCCGUAUAGAAGUGUAUCCGAACGGAAUAAGCCCUAAAUACCGAGGAUAUAUUUCUGUGAAGAUUUCAAAAUUUCCGGCACAAAUGGAUUUGGAUAACACAUAUCAUUCUUGGAUGCUGAGUGUUGUUGACGUGAAUGGAAGUGAUAAGUGCCGCCAGUCUUUUGUAAAAGAAAAUAUUAAAGGGUUUUCUUAUAAUGAGGUCAUACCGGACUUUCUGAUGCGUACUUUUCUGCUAAACCAAGCUGAUGAACUCUUAUCUAAAGACGUGCUUACAAUCCGAUGCGAAAUGAUUGAAACUGACUGCACAAGUUCAAGCGAACAUUUUGCUCUCCAAACCUCCUCUAGUUAUGAUUAUCUUGAGUCUUUCGUGCAAGAAGAGAAAGAAAGUAGCGACAUAAAACCUUUAGCUGAGUCGAAUACCAAUUACGCUGGAAAUUUCGGUAAUGCCCGAAUAGAGCUUGAGAUAUAUAAAAUAAUUUCAUCAGUAGCGGAUUUAAAUUUGCAUAUGUGCGGUUUCUUUUACAUGAAUGCAUCUUAUCAUGAAAGGUUGAAAAAUAUGCUAGCGGAAUUUGACGCAGUAGAUGAAGUAAGGCAAACGUACUUGAGUUCACACAAAGUCUUUUGUGAUUACUUAAUUACAAAAGAAAAAUGUAGAAAAAUUCUGUCAAAGAAACCUAAUGACACUUGUAUUAAAAAUUUACUUCGUUUGAUCGAUCUAGAAAGCAGCAAUGAUAGCGAAACGUUGAGGACUACACAAAUGAUUCCAGGAUCUACGGAUGUGGAAAAUAAAUGCCCUUCUGAAAUAGUUGGCCAAGAAGAUUUCUUAGGUCACAAAAAUGAAGAAAUUGAAAGAAUUACUGAAUUAAAUCUGCCUUUUGACAUUGAUAGUCGUUGGGUUUUCGAAAGAUGUUUAACUAUGUUUGAGUACUGCAAAGAUGAGAUGGGAUCUGUCUUGGAACGUCUUGAAUUUGAUAAUGAUUCUAAAAUUAUGAGUGAAGAAGGUGAAUAUAAAAAAGAAGAAACAACACAAAUUACUCCAGGGCCUUUGAAUGAUGAAGAUAAAUGUUGUUCUGAUAUGGUCGGUGAAUGUUUUUCAAAUCAAGAAGAUGCAGAAAAUAAAAGAACUAUUGAAACAGUUCAACCUUUUGACUUUCACCACAGUAUUUCUCCGAACUCUGAGCCGUGUUGCAGCUCCCCAUCGGUUGAACCCUUUGGUUUUGAGAAACAUCCGUCUACUGAAGAGCCAAAUUGCACUCUCAAGAAGCUCAAAGAAAGAAUGCUAUACAUAUUGAAAGAACAGGAAUUCGAUGAUGAUUCUAAGAAUAUGUGUUCAGAAGAAGAAUUUGAAAUGCAGAGAACAACACAAAUGACUUCAGGACCUUUGAAUGAUGGAAAUAAACAGUUCUCUGGAAUAGUUGGACAGCAAUGGUUCUUAACUCAUGAAGAAGAGAAAAGUACUCCUGAAACUGAUCAAUCUUUUGACAUUGAAAGGGAUCCGCUUUAUAAAAAGCUUAAAAACUUUGUUUUGGAUAUCGAUGAAACGAUAAAAUGUUUAUUACAAAAUCAAAAUUCUGAUAACAGUUCUAAGAAUGUUGAUGAAGGAGAAUGUGAAAGAGGGAGAACAGAACAAAUGACAUCAGAGCAUUCUAAUAAUAUUGGAGUAGUUGGACACGAAUGUCUUAUAGAUAAUAAAGACAGGGAAAUUGAAAUGACUGUUGUAAAAGAUCUACCUCUUGAUCUGCUUAUUGAAAGGGUUCAAAACAAUACUCUAAAACACUAUGAAAAAGUGAUUGCAUUUUUAUUGAAUGUGGAAGAAAGUCUCAGCAAAAGUGAAGAUGUAUGCGAAAGAGAUGCAACAAUGCAGAUGAUAUCAGUGCUUCCCAAUAUUAAAGGAAAAUGUUUUUUUAAAACAAUUCGAGAAAUAUGUGAAGCUUUAGUGGUAAUAAUGAAAGACCCUAAUUCUUUUAUUAGUAAAUAUUACGAAAAAAGUGAAAGAACUACUCCUGAUUUUGAAAUUACAUCGUUUGAUAAAGAAAACUUCAGUCGACGUUUACCAGAAGAAAGUGAAUCUGGUGAUGAUUCUACCAUCGAGAACCAAACUAAAUGGAGCAUUUGUAUUGAAACUAUGGACGACAUAACAUUCACUAUUCCUUUCGAAGAUGCUAAAGACACACUUGGUUCUAAACUCAUCUCUAUUUCUAAGGUCUUCGAAAGAAUGCUGACACUUCCUAUGCGGGAGAAGCUUGAAAAAAAAGUAAAACUUAUUGAUGUAGAUUGUGGCACAUUCAUUAAUUUUUUAUACUUUUUGCAAAUGAAAGAUGUCAAAGUUGAAACUCUUUCUGAAUGGUGCGAUAUUUAUGAAUUAGCGGAUAAAUACAAUGUCGAAGAGUUGAUGUUAUUAUGUGUUGAGCGAAUGCAACCUUUCUUCUCAUCCAGUAAUAUCGAUGAAGUAGAGAAUCUUGCUUUUCUACAUUCUGAUGAGCAUCUCUUAGAGCUAAUGAAAUUAUUCAAAGAUCAAAUACCUGACUUGUAUAGGAAUUGAAUGAAGGCAAGGAAAUACUUUUGGAUUAAAACUCGACAUCUCAAGCACAAGCAAAAAAACAGGAAUAUGAUUUUUGAGUUUUAUCUAUAUCCAUCCGCCUUUGGUGAUCAGUUUGUUUGUCUGGGAUUCUGAGUUUCCUGGUUGUUAAAACAUUAAUAUGGAAUGCAUUGAUUAAGGAUUUCAUGUUAUUUGAUAAGACAGCAAAAAAUGAAUUUAAUGGAAUCAUUUUACUACAGCGCAUGCAAAAUACCCAUGAAGAUACAGAAAAUCAAAAGGAUUCUGUUACAGAUAAUGAUAUCAUGGAUAAUCCAUAUCUUAGACCAGCAAAAUUACAAAGAAAAAGAAGGAAAUGAAUGCUGAAAACAAUUGCUUUAUUGCUCGUCAUACAUUUGUAUUUUAUUCGAUUUCAUAUGUGAAUAAGUUCAUUAUUAAUAAGAUUUUAUAUUUUUUAAAAAGA
This is an RNA transcript of Argiope bruennichi, 3615 nucleotides long. It is a transcript of the gene named transcription initiation factor TFIID subunit 8-like, with no coding region annotated. The record is from RefSeq and is a predicted model, not a curated record. Lineage: Eukaryota; Metazoa; Arthropoda; Arachnida; Araneae; Araneidae. The transcript has 2 exons.